RNAcentral lists this unclassified non-coding RNA (344 nucleotides) under soil metagenome. Its description in RNAcentral is "partial contains 5.8S ribosomal RNA, internal transcribed spacer 2, and large subunit ribosomal RNA". The stretch from base 1 to 119 matches the Rfam family "5.8S ribosomal RNA", at positions 35 to 154 of the family's 154-position model. The record is from RNAcentral.
GAUGAAGAACGCAGCGAAAUGCGAUACGUAAUGUGAAUUGCAAAUUCAGUGAAUCAUCGAGUCUUUGAACGCACAUUGCGCCCCCUGGUAUUCCGGGUGGCAUGCCUGUCCGAGCGUCAUUGCUGCCCUCAAGCACGGCUUGUGUGUUGGGCCCCGUCCUCCGAUCCCGGGGGACGGGCCCGAAAGGCAGCGGCGGCACCGCGUCCGGUCCUCGAGCGUAUGGGGCUUUGUCACCCGCUCUGUAGGCCCGGCCGGCGCUUGCCGAUCAACCCAAAUUUUUAUCCAGGUUGACCUCGGAUCAGGUAGGGAUACCCGCUGAACUUAAGCAUAUCAAUAAGCGGAGA